This 473-nucleotide ribosomal RNA is filed under the name uncultured Smithella sp. Its description in RNAcentral is "bacterial SSU rRNA". It matches the Rfam family "Bacterial small subunit ribosomal RNA", at positions 907 to 1382 of the family's 1533-position model. The record is from RNAcentral. Lineage: Bacteria; Pseudomonadati; Thermodesulfobacteriota; Syntrophia; Syntrophales; Smithellaceae.
UAGAAUUGACGGGGCCGCACAAGCGGUGAGCAUGUGGUUUAAUUCGAUGCAACGCGAAGAACCUUACCUGGGCUUGACAUCCCGGGAAUCCCUUGGAAACAAGGGAGUGCCCUUCGGGGAACCUGGAGACAGGUGCUGCAUGGCUGUCGUCAGCUCGUGUCGUGAGAUGUAGGGUUAAGUCCCGCAACGAGCGCAACCCUUGUCUUUAAUUGCCAUCAUUCAGUUGGGCACUCUAGCGAGACUGCCGGUAAUAAACCGGAGGAAGUGGGAUGACGUCAAAUCAUCAUGCCCCUUAUGACCUGGGCUACACACGUGCUACAAUGGUUGGUACAACGAGUUGCGAGUCGGUGACGGCGAGCUAAUCUCUUAAAGCCAAUCUCAGUUCGGAUUGUAGGCUGCAACUCGCCUACAUGAAGUCGGAAUCGCUAGUAAUCGCGGAUCAGCACGCCGCGGUGAAUACGUUCCCGGGCCUU